AUGAACGCUGGCGGCGUGCCUAAUACAUGCAAGUCGAGCGAACAGACGAGGAGCUUGCUCCUCUGACGUUAGCGGCGGACGGGUGAGUAACACGUGGAUAACCUACCUAUAAGACUGGGAUAACUUCGGGAAACCGGAGCUAAUACCGGAUAAUAUAUUUAACCGCAUGGUUCAAUAGUGAAAGACGGUUUUGCUGUCACUUAUAGAUGGAUCCGCGCCGCAUUAGCUAGUUGGUAAGGUAACGGCUUACCAAGGCAACGAUGCGUAGCCGACCUGAGAGGGUGAUCGGCCACACUGGAACUGAGACACGGUCCAGACUCCUACGGGAGGCAGCAGUAGGGAAUCUUCCGCAAUGGGCGAAAGCUUGACGGAGCAACGCCGUGUGAGUGAUGAAGGUCUUCGGAUCGUAAAACUCUGUUAUUAGGGAAGAACAAAUGUGUAAGUAACUAUGCACGUCUUGACGGUACCUAAUCAGAAAGCCACGGCUAACUACGUG
RNAcentral lists this ribosomal RNA (496 nucleotides) under uncultured bacterium. RNAcentral describes it as "partial 16S ribosomal RNA". It matches the Rfam family "Bacterial small subunit ribosomal RNA", at positions 29 to 507 of the family's 1533-position model. The record is from RNAcentral.